Molecule: ribosomal RNA, 790 nt
Filed under: uncultured archaeon
Lineage: Archaea
Description: bacterial SSU rRNA
Rfam family: Archaeal small subunit ribosomal RNA
Source: RNAcentral
ACGGCUCAGUAACACGUAGACAACCUACCCUCAGCACGGGGAUAAACCCGGGAAACUGGGUAUAAUACCCGAUAGUUCUGGUUUGCUGGAAUGCUUCCAGGACGAAAGCUCCGGCGACUGAGGAUGGGUCUGCGGCCUAUCAGGUAGUAGUGGGUGUAAUGUACCUACUAGCCUACGACGGGUACGGGUCGUGAGAGCGAGAGCCCGGAGAUGGAUUCUGAGACACGAAUCCAGGCCCUACGGGGUGCAGCAGGCGCGAAAACUUUACAAUGCUGGCAACAGCGAUAAGGGGACCUCGAGUGCCAGGAUACAAUCUUGGCUGUCGCAAUGCCUAAAAAGCAUUGCAUAGCAAGGGCCGGGCAAGACCGGUGCCAGCCGCCGCGGUAACACCGGCGGCUCGAGUGGUAACCGCUAUUAUUGGGUCUAAAGGGUCUGUAGCCGGCCGGAUAAGUCUCUUGGGAAAUCCAGCUGCUCAACAGUUGGGCUUUCAGGAGAUACUGUUCGGCUCGAGGCCGGGAGAGGUGAGAGGUACUUCAGGGGUAGGGGUGAAAUCUUGUAAUCCUUGAAGGACCACCAGUGGCGAAGGCGUCUCACCAGAACGGACCUGACGGCAAGGGACGAAAGCUAGGGGCACGAACCGGAUUAGAUACCCGGGUAGUCCUAGCCGUAAACGAUACUCGCUAGGUGUCAGCCACGGUGCGACCGUGGUUGGUGCCGUAGGGAAGCCGUGAAGCGAGCCACCUGGGAAGUACGGCCGCAAGGCUGAAACUUAAAGGAAUUGGCGGGGGAG